GGUGCUGCAUGGCUGUCGUCAGCUCGUGUCGUGAGAUGUUCGGUUAAGUCCCGCAACGAGCGCAACCCUUGCCAUCAGUUGCUCGAAAGGGCACUCUGAUGGGACUGCCGGUGACAAACCGGAGGAAGGUGGGGAUGACGUCAAGUCCUCAUGGCCCUUAUAGGUGGGGCUACACACGUCAUACAAUGGCCGGUACAAAGGGCAGCCAACCCGCGAGGGGGAGCCAAUCCCAUAAAGCCGGUCGUAGUCCGGAUCGCAGUCUGCAACUCGACUGCGUGAAGUCGGAAUCGCUAGUAAUCGUGGAUCAGCAUGUCACGGUGAAUACGUUCCCGGGUCUU
This 338-nucleotide ribosomal RNA is filed under the name uncultured Hydrogenophaga sp. RNAcentral describes it as "bacterial SSU rRNA". It matches the Rfam family "Bacterial small subunit ribosomal RNA", at positions 1037 to 1382 of the family's 1533-position model. The record is from RNAcentral. Lineage: Bacteria; Pseudomonadati; Pseudomonadota; Betaproteobacteria; Burkholderiales; Comamonadaceae.